Molecule: ribosomal RNA, 393 nt
Filed under: Serrasalmus manueli
Lineage: Eukaryota; Metazoa; Chordata; Actinopteri; Characiformes; Serrasalmidae
Description: partial 12S small subunit ribosomal RNA
Rfam family: Bacterial small subunit ribosomal RNA
Source: RNAcentral
CCCCACUAUGCUUAGCCCUAAACUCAGAUGUAAGUACAUACAAACUCAUCCGCCAGGGUACUACAAGCGCUAGCUUAAAACCCAAAGGACUUGACGGUGUCUCAGACCCACCUARAGGAGCCUGUUYUAGAACCGAUAAUCCCCGUUAAACCUCACCAUCCCUUGUCUUUUCCCGCCUAUAUACCGCCGUCGCAAGCUUACCCUGUGAAGGGCUUACAGUAAGCAAAAUGGGCCAACCCCAGAACGUCAGGUCGAGGUGUAGCUCACGAGAUGGAAAGAAAUGGGCUACAUUUUCUAUUGCAGAAUAUUCACGAACGGUACCAUGAAACCUAGUACCCGAAGGUGGAUUUAGCAGUAAAAAACAAAUAGAGCGUGUUUUUGAAUCAGGCUNUG